This 206-nucleotide long non-coding RNA is filed under the name Olea europaea (common olive). Its description in RNAcentral is "long non-coding RNA (OEUR_LNC006221)". Lineage: Eukaryota; Viridiplantae; Streptophyta; Magnoliopsida; Lamiales; Oleaceae. The record is from RNAcentral.
CUCGUAGAUCUAGCACGAGGAUAAUGUUAACGAAAUUGUGUAAAAUCGACUAAGCAAAUGAAACUCAAGUGUGAGGAUUGAAAAGCUGGAUUUUGGAGGCGAGUCUUAUAUCGUAAAAAUAAAUUUUGGAAUAGUGAAUUUUUGGAGAAUGCGUGGUUGAAAAGUAAGAAAAAUGAUUUAUGUACAAUAUUAUUUUAUUAAGAGAA